CCUCUAGCUCAGUUGGUAGAGCAUGGUGUUUGCAACGCCAGGGUUGUGGGUUCGAUUCCCACGGGG
RNAcentral lists this transfer RNA (66 nucleotides) under Salmo salar (Atlantic salmon). It matches the Rfam family "tRNA". Rfam says of the family: Transfer RNA (tRNA) molecules are approximately 80 nucleotides in length. Their secondary structure includes four short double-helical elements and three loops (D, anti-codon, and T loops). The record is from Rfam by way of RNAcentral. Lineage: Eukaryota; Metazoa; Chordata; Actinopteri; Salmoniformes; Salmonidae.